This 439-nucleotide ribosomal RNA is filed under the name uncultured bacterium. Its description in RNAcentral is "partial 16S ribosomal RNA". It matches the Rfam family "Bacterial small subunit ribosomal RNA", at positions 339 to 795 of the family's 1533-position model. The record is from RNAcentral.
CUACGGGGGGCACCAGUGAGGAAUCUUCCACAAUGGGCGAAAGCCUGAUGGAGCGACACCGCGUGAGGGAUGAAGGCCUAACGGUUGUAAACUUCUUUUCUGAAGGAGCAUAAUGAGAGUACUUCAGGAAUAAGGGACGGCUAAAUACGUGCCAGCAGCCGCGGUAAUACGUAUGUCCCAAGCAUUGCCCGGAAUUACUGGGUGUAAAGGGUUUGUAGGCGGCUUUAUAAGUCAGAUAUGAAAGACCGAAGCUCAACUUCGUGUUUGUGUUUGAAACUGUAGAGCUAGAAUCAGGGAGAGGUAAGCGGAAUUCUGAGUGUAGGGGUGCAAUCCGUAGAUACUCAGAGGAACACCAAAAGCGAAGGCAGCUUACUGGAACUGUAUUGACGCUCAUGAACGAAAGCGUGGGGAGCGAAAAGGAUUAGAUACCCUAGUAGUC